CUCUUCCUGCUCCACCAUUGAGGACUUUUUGAAUCAUUCUUUGUCUGGAACCUCCCCCUUGACCUUGCCGCCAUGGGUGGCCCUACCAGGAGCAUGAGCUCCAGACGGCAUCACUCUUGGGGUCAUUGGAGCAUGCAAGCCUCUCCACUACAACAAAGUGACGAUCCUCAGAGAAGAAUUACACAGUAUGAAGCAAUUGUCUAACAGUUAGAAAGCGCCCUCACAAAAGAGAGUACCUUUGCUGGGAAAAAGUGCUGUUGGAGGCACAAACCCUGGUGAGGACUGUUCUCAAGCUAAAGAUGAUUUAAGAGAUUCUUCAGAGGAAUACAAGUCUAAAAAUGACUGCAUUACCUUUCCAUGAAUCAAGAAAAUUUAAGAAGACUAAAAAAAUAGAUAAGAAAAAAAAUAUAUCAAAUUAAUCUAUGAGAGGAACUGGUAGCUGCAGGGAAAAUAACAAUACUUGACAUUUUGGGCAAAUUAGUGCCAGAAGGACAAAAAUAUUUAACAUAAUUCCUUGAAGAUACACGGGUCUUGUUUUUUAAAAACAAGAUUAUAGUUUAUCUACAGAUGAAGAAAAUGGAAGCUUCUUGUUGGAGGAAAUUUUAUCCGUUAAGCAACAAGUAGAUCAUUAUCUCAAGUAAGAUCAUAUAUAUCGUUACUGAGAAAUGAAAAGUCCCCAGCCUUGAUUUUAUCUCCCCAGAAAUCUUCAAGGAAUUCAUUGCUUGGUAGUACCAAAUUCUGACCAAAAAUUUUAAUGCAAUCAUUUUAGAAGGUAUUUAUCCAAAGUUUUUGAAUGAAAACAUAAUCCCAGUUUUUAAAAAUGGUAAUGAGAGAUCCCUUGUUUUAUUCUCCCAUUAACCUUAUGUGUACUCCUGCCAAAACACUUGGGAGACUUUUAUUUUUUCACCUUCAGACAUGCAUCUCUGACAAUAUUUUGGAAGAAGAGCAGGCUGGUUUUAGAGAAGGCUAUUCCUAAAUGGACCAUUGUUUGGCAUUCUAUUAUCUAGCAUCUAAAUAAGUUAAAAGACAAAAUCAUCUGUAUGUAGCCUUUGUAGCUCUCAAGACAGACUCCAUAGACAGAUUAAAAUUAUGGAAGAAACUGGCAACAUCAGUAAACAAAGCUCUCCUACAAUUAAUUAUCACUUACUAUUCAAACAUAACUUCAGGAGUAUGUUAUGGGAUUGGCAGUGCCCAGUCCAGGGGCAGGGGUAUAGCAAGGAUGUUUGCUUGCUCAGCUACUUUUGAACUUAUUCUUGAAUGAUUUAAAACAGGUUCUAACAGGGAAUCAAUUCCAUGCACCCAUUUGAAUGACCAUCUCUCUCACUUGCUAUAUGUAGAUGAUGCAUUAAUUCUGUCCCAAUCUCAAAUAGGUCUUCAAAGAUAAUUAGAUGCCUUUCAAUAGCAACACAAAUAGCUUAGAAAUCAAUACACCUAAAAUCAAAGUAAAGUUCUUUGGAAAUGAAAGAAGGAAAUGGGAUUGUUUUUUUACAGGGAAAGAAACCUUGUCUUUUUUCAGCAGGCCAUUUGGUUUACAACAUGGAUUGAACAUUUGCACAUGCAACCUGGGACAAACAAGGCUGGCCUCUGUACACAUAAAUAGUUUAAACUACAGGGGGUCUUUUAUUGUUUUCUUUAUCCAGUUUAGGGCUUUUCAAACCAUGAGUAGAAAAAAGGCAAACAAAACUGGUUGACUAUGUGACUAGUAGAAGUGAUUGCUCCUGAAAUAAUGAACAUUAAAGAUGAUCAUUAAGUAAAUAUUUUGAAAUAAUAUUUAGAAACAGCUAAGAAUUUGCAGGGCUCCUUACUGCAUUGUUUAUCAUCUCAUGUCCAAAUCCUGUGUUAUACAUGCUUAUGCAACUCCCUGGGUCCUUCAUCCUGAGAUAGGUCAGUCAGUGAUCAUUGUUAACCUGAAUCCUCUUCCCGUUGAACUAGGAUGAUUAUGUUGUGAGCUGGGGCAAUGUUACUGAUGUGAAAUAAAAUGGACUUCCAGUGAAGUUGGUGAAUACUAAACUGAGGUACCAUUUAGCAAUGACAGAGAAACCUAGAAAACAGUAAUGCUGGAACAGACUUUCAGAAAAUUGUCAGAAAAACUAUGAGUUCACAAUGCCAUAGUUCAACAACAAUGACCAGCUUAGCUUUGGGCUGCAUAUGUUGUCAUUAUGUCAGGUCCCUCUCUGUGGCACACUGGUUUGUACUGCAUUGAAUACUCAGCACCUCAUCGUGAAAUGUAGAGAAACAUUUCUUAGUGAUCUCAAAGGGCCAGUUAUGGGGAAAGAUUAAAAGAGUGAAAUAUAUUUAUAUAGUAGGCCCAUUUCCUCUUUCAGACAAACCAAUUCAAACCCAGAAUAAUACCCCUGAGGUCAACAGAGUUACUUUUGAUUUAGGCUAACGUAAGUGAGACCAUAUUCUGGUUUCUUGUCUACUUUGUUGUUACAGGGAUGAGAGAGGAUCUUAGGAGUCCAUAAAUCACUGAGGAGAAUAAAGAGGAGGAAGAAAAGGCAUUAUUUAGCAAGUGAAUCCUGCUUCCUGAUGGAUGACUCCAAACCUUAUGAUCUUUAUUCUGCUCCAAAGCAAGGCACAUUUCUCCAGUUGUUAGGUCUCUUCCUCAUACUCUUAAAAUGAGCAUGUAUUUUGUAAUCCUCUUCUAACUUGAAGCUUCAGCUUUUGAAACUUGAGCUGUUCUGGGUCCUACAUUCCACCAACCCACCCGCUGGAAUUAUUCCUCUGACUUACACCUCCUACCACAGGAAAAUGUUUAUAGCUCUGUACAUUAAUCAAGACCUAAAUGAGGUUGGAUUGGAUACUAGGACAAAAAUAAGCAUCUUUUAAGUAGCUCAUUGUUUAGAUAGCAAAUUCCCUGCCCCUUAAAAGAAAAGAGUAAGCAUUGCACAGAAGGAUUUCUCAGCAUUAAUGAUUUGCAACAAACAUCUUCAUGAGGCAACGUUAGGCUAAAUGUGUCCUUCAGAUUACCUUAAACAUUGAUAAAUCUCUGAAAUACUAGAGCACAUACACUCUCAUUUUAGAGAGACUGAACAACAAAUAGUAAGAGAACAAACACUUUUAAUGUAUUAAAUAAUAUUAUGUGGUUAAUUAAUGUAUUAAUGGAUAAAAAUUAUAAUAAUGGAGCCUGAAGAAACAAAGACUGUCCAGUCUGCUGUUUGGAAAAUAAAUAUUCUCCUGAUGCUCAUGUUGUUAAGACUUUAACCAAAGUUUUUGUGGCAUGCCACAAUCAGAAGAGUUGAAUUGUAGAGAACAGCAUGUCAAUACAGAUAACAUACUUAAAGCCACAUCCCAAAACCUGAAUGGCUGCCAGUUAGCCGCCUACAUCAUAAUAUACAUUGCUAAACAGCUGCUGAAGGGAUAUUUACUUUGGACCUGGUCACUAUAGUACUUCAUGCAUGACUGUAUACUUAGGGUGAUAAGUACUGCAGGCUGUGAAUACUUACUUCCUUUGGGGAUUGUCACCAUGUUUGCUAUAUAUCAGCAGCAAAUGCAAACAUACUAUUAACCAUGACAAUGCAUUUAAAUGGGAAUGGAAAUUGCAUUAUUCUGGGAAAACCUGCCACACAUAGUUGUGUUUUCAUUCCUGUCAUGCAAUGCAAAACAAUACAGGAAAGUGUGUUCCUUCACGUUUUGUCUGUGGGCAUCAGUGGUGUGGAACUGCAAUACCUCUGCUAUGCAACUGAUUCUGAUGGGAAAAUAUAGUGACUAUUAAUUGUAUUCUUUUAGAUAACAUUAUUCAAAAUAAAAUCUUUUUUAAAACAUAGUCCUAGGCACA
Molecule: long non-coding RNA, 3778 nt
Organism: Gavialis gangeticus (Gharial)
Lineage: Eukaryota; Metazoa; Chordata; Crocodylia; Gavialidae
Exons: 2
Source: RefSeq, a predicted model, not a curated record